GAGCCAGUUGGGGUAGUGGUUGGAGCACUGGAUUAGGACUCUGGAGACCAGGGUUCGAAUCUCUGCUCAUCCA
Non-coding RNA from Phrynosoma platyrhinos (Desert horned lizard), 73 nucleotides. The record is from the annotation of a GenBank genome assembly. NCBI's taxonomy places the organism in Eukaryota, Metazoa, Chordata, Lepidosauria, Squamata, Phrynosomatidae.